UACGUAGGGGGCAAGCGUUGUCCGGAUUUAUUGGGCGUAAAGAGCGUAUAGGCGGCCAGGUAGGUCUGCUGUGAAAACUCGAGGCUCAACCUCGAGAUGUCGGCGGAAACCAUCUGGCUAGAGUCCGGAAGAGGAGAAUGGAAUUCCCGGUGUAGCGGUGAAAUGCGCAGAUAUCGGGAAGAACACCCGUGGCGAAGGCGGUUCUCUGGGACGGUACUGACGCUGAGACGCGAAAGCGUGGGGAGCGAACAGG
RNAcentral lists this ribosomal RNA (253 nucleotides) under uncultured bacterium. Its description in RNAcentral is "partial 16S ribosomal RNA". It matches the Rfam family "Bacterial small subunit ribosomal RNA", at positions 524 to 776 of the family's 1533-position model. The record is from RNAcentral.